GAUAAACGCUGGCGGCGUGCCUUAUGCAUGCAAGUCGAACGGUCUCGAUUUAUCGAGGUAGUGGCGAACGGGUGAGUAGCGCGUAAGUAACCUGCCCCUAAGUAAAGGAUAACUCUGAGAAAUUAGAGCUAAUACUGUAUGUGGUGGUGGAGGUAACGCUUCAUCACUAAAGCUUUAGAGCGCUUAGGGAGGGGCUUGCGUCCGAUUAGCUAGUUGGUAGGGUAAUGGUCUACCAAGGCGAUGAUCGGUAGCUGGUUUGAGAGGACAUCCAGCCACACUGGGAUUGAGAUACGGCCCAGACUCCUACGGGAGGCAGCAGCAAGGAAUUUGUGCAAUGGGCGAAAGCCUGACACAGCGACGCCGUGUGGGGGAUGAAGGCCUUCGGGUUGUAAACCCCUUUUCUCAGGGAAGAAUAAUGACGGUACCUGAGGAAUAAGUCUUGGCUAACUACGUG
Molecule: ribosomal RNA, 454 nt
Filed under: uncultured bacterium
Lineage: Bacteria
Description: bacterial SSU rRNA
Rfam family: Bacterial small subunit ribosomal RNA
Source: RNAcentral